AUGAACGCUGGCGGCGUGCCUAAUACCUGCCAGUCGCGCGAACAGACGAGGAGCUUGCUCCUCUGACGUUAGCGGCGGACGGGUGAGUAACACGUGGAUAACCUACCUAUAAAACUGGGAUAACUUCGGGAAACCGGAGCUAAUACCGGAUAAUAUAUUGAACCGCAUGGUUCAAUAGUGAAAGACGGUUUUGCUGUCACUUAUAGAUGGAUCCGCGCCGCAUUAGCUAGUUGGUAAGGUAACGGCUUACCAAGGCAACGAUGCGUAGCCGACCUGAGAGGGUGAUCGGCCACACUGGAACUGAGACACGGUCCAGACUCCUACGGGAGGCAGCAGUAGGGAAUCUUCCGCAAUGGGCGAAAGCUUGACGGAGCAACGCCGCGUGAGUGAUGAAGGUCUUCGGAUCGUAAAACUCUGUUAUUAGGGAAGAACAAAUGUGUAAGUAACUAUGCACGUCUUGACGGUACCUAAUCAGAAAGCCACGGCUAACUACGUG
RNAcentral lists this ribosomal RNA (496 nucleotides) under uncultured bacterium. RNAcentral's name for it is "partial 16S ribosomal RNA". It matches the Rfam family "Bacterial small subunit ribosomal RNA", at positions 29 to 507 of the family's 1533-position model. The record is from RNAcentral.